GGAAAAGUUGAGAGAAGGGAGAUUAAGAUGGGCACAUAAAGCAUUGAUGAUAAAGGUUGAGCACAUUGAAGUUGUAGACAUAAGAAAACAUGGGAUAGAUCUAGGGUAGGGGAAGUAUGUAGAGAGAAACAUAUACAAUCUAUGGAUUUUUUCUAAAAUAUGCUCCUAAACAAGGUGGUAUGGAAGAAAAGAAUUCGUAUAGCCAAUCCCAGUUAGUUCAGGAUUAAUGUUUGGUUGAGUUCAGUUAGGUUGAUUACUAGGUCAUAAGAUUUGAAGUAUGCAAGUGUCCUUUUUUUAUGUUUCAUUAGUAAAGACAGAUGGAAAAUAGUCAUAGGAAUGGAGACCAGAUGUAUUACGGAAAAGCAAUUUAUCAAUAUGCAUUAUGACUCUCUGUAUUAGAAACCAUCCAAUUACCCUCUCAUUAAAUGAAAAAAACUAAAAGAAUAUACAAAGUCAGCAGCAACCAGAUAUGACCAGCAGAAAUUUCAGAAAGUCUGAGAAUAUGUAGUGUAGAAAGAGGGAAAGAGAGACAUUCACAGAAUUUGCUAUUCACCUGCGAUGAAUGCAUCCAAGUGC
This 576-nucleotide unclassified non-coding RNA is filed under the name Hevea brasiliensis (rubber tree). The record is from RNAcentral. Lineage: Eukaryota; Viridiplantae; Streptophyta; Magnoliopsida; Malpighiales; Euphorbiaceae.